UACGUAGGCAGCGAGCGUUGUUCGGAGUUACUGGGCGUAAAGGGUGUGUAGGCGGUUCUUUAAGUUUGGUGUGAAAUCUCCCGGCUCAACCGGGAGGGUGCGCCGAAUACUGAGGGACUCGAGUGCGGGAGAGGAAAGUGGAAUUCCUGGUGUAGCGGUGAAAUGCGUAGAUAUCAGGAGGAACACCGGUGGUGUAGACGGCUUUCUGGACCGUAACUGACGCUGAGACACGAAAGCGCGGGUAGCAAACAGG
This 253-nucleotide ribosomal RNA is filed under the name uncultured bacterium. Its description in RNAcentral is "partial 16S ribosomal RNA". It matches the Rfam family "Bacterial small subunit ribosomal RNA", at positions 524 to 776 of the family's 1533-position model. The record is from RNAcentral.